UACGUAGGGUGCGAGCGUUAAUCGGAUUUACUGGGCGUAAAGCGCGUGUAGGCGGCAGGGCAAGUCUGGUGUGAAAGCCCGGGGCUCAACCCCGGAAGUGCAUUGGAAACUGCUCUGCUUGAGUACCGGAGAGGAAGGGGGAAUUCCCGGUGUAGCGGUGAAAUGCGUAGAUAUCGGGAGGAAUACCAGUGACGAAGGCGCCCUUCUGGACGGUUACUGACGCUGAGACGCGAAAGCGUGGGGAGCAAACAGG
This 253-nucleotide ribosomal RNA is filed under the name uncultured microorganism. RNAcentral describes it as "partial 16S ribosomal RNA". It matches the Rfam family "Bacterial small subunit ribosomal RNA", at positions 524 to 776 of the family's 1533-position model. The record is from RNAcentral.